GCGCAGGAAAAGAAACCAACAGGGAUUGCCUUAGUAACUGCGAGUGGAGCGGCAAAAGCUCAAAUUUGAAAUCUGGCGUCUUCGGCGUCCGAGUUGUAAUUUGGAGAGAUUUCUUCGGGGUGAACACCGGUCCAAGUUCCUUGGAACAGGACGUCACAGAGGGUGAGAAUCCCGUGUCUGACCGGUUGCUUCAUUCCAUGUGAAGAGUCUUCGACGAGUCGAGUUGUUUGGGAAUGCAGCUCAAAAUGGGUGGUUAAUUUCAUCUAAAGCUAAAUAUUGGCGAGAGACCGAUAGCGCACAAGUAGAGUGAUCGAAAGAUGAAAAGCACUUUGAAAAGAGAGUUAAAAAGUACGUGAAAUUGUUGAAAGGGAAGCGCUUGAGACCAGACUCAAUUUGUGGUGAACAUCAGUCCUUCUGGGCUGUGCACUUGCCACUUUUUGGGCCAGCAUCGGUUCUGACCGUGUGAUAAAGGUCCUGGGAAUGUAGCUCCUCUCGGGGAGUGUUAUAGCCCAGGGCGUAAUGACAUGAGUUGGGACCGAGGACCGCGCUUCGGCUAGGAUGCUGGCAUAAUGGUCUUCAGCGACCCGUCUUGAAACACGGACCAAGGAGUCUAACAUCUAUGCGAGUGUUCGGGUGGAAAACCCUUGCGCGUAAUGAAAGUGAACGGAGGUGGGAACCCCUCGGGGUGCAGCAUCGACCGAUCCUGAUGUUCUCGGAUGGAUUUGAAAUCGG
RNAcentral lists this ribosomal RNA (732 nucleotides) under uncultured Ascodesmis. Its description in RNAcentral is "eukaryotic LSU rRNA". It matches the Rfam family "Eukaryotic large subunit ribosomal RNA", at positions 50 to 799 of the family's 3401-position model. The record is from RNAcentral. Lineage: Eukaryota; Fungi; Ascomycota; Pezizomycetes; Pezizales; Ascodesmidaceae.